Molecule: long non-coding RNA, 546 nt
Organism: Solanum tuberosum (potato)
Lineage: Eukaryota; Viridiplantae; Streptophyta; Magnoliopsida; Solanales; Solanaceae
Exons: 4
Source: RefSeq, a predicted model, not a curated record
AGAAAAAAAAAAGAAGCUAAAACAAACCAAAGAAACCAAGAGGCAAACAGAGAUCGAAAAAGAAAUAAAAAAGUUGUAAGGACAAAGGUCCUUCUAGCUUUUGGAAACAUCUUCUCCUUGACCCCUCUUUCUUCAGUGAGCUAAUGGAGCUCCAAAUCGAGUUUGAGCUCCCAACUGGGCAUGAAGCUUCUCCCCCGAUUGACACUACUAACUCAGCAUCAGCGGGCUAUAAAGGAUCUUUUCAAGCUCAAUUCGAUGUCUCUAGGUGAACGAACACUCAAAUAAAGGUAUCUUCUAUCAACAAGUAUUUGACACAAGAGACAUUCAUGUAAUCAACCUGACAUCUACCUCGAACAUAAAACUAAUUGAUCCAAUUCACAUCAGCUACAUUGAAACAACCAUUAUGGGUUUUUUGGAGUAUCCCAACGUCUCCUUCUAGCUCUGGAUAUUUAGUGUCUUCCGAUCGACAUAUCUCUACAUGUUUAUAGUCAUGCGACUGACUUAUAUCUUUAGACUUUAGUUUUUGUAUCUCAUUGUCCAUACUAU